Non-coding RNA from Strongylocentrotus purpuratus (purple sea urchin), 73 nucleotides. NCBI's taxonomy places the organism in Eukaryota, Metazoa, Echinodermata, Echinoidea, Camarodonta, Strongylocentrotidae. The record is from Rfam.
GCCACCAUAGCUCAGUGGUUAGAGCACUGGUCUUGUAAACCAGGGUUCGUGAGUUCGAAUUUCACUGGUGGCU